Ornithorhynchus anatinus (platypus) is the source of this 72-nucleotide non-coding RNA. Lineage: Eukaryota; Metazoa; Chordata; Mammalia; Monotremata; Ornithorhynchidae. The record is from Rfam.
AGCAGCGUGGCUCAGUGGAAAGAGCCCGGGCUUGGGACUCAGAGGUCAUGGGUUCGAAUCCCAGCUCUGCCA